GCCAACCCUAGAGAUUGAAGUCCUCUAAUCACAGAACAGGUGCAGCAUAGGCAACAGCAGUGCAAGUUUCCCUACACACAUCCAACAGCUGACCUUAGCUCUAACUGGAGGGAGCACCUUCAGGAAUGAGACGAGAGUUCAUUAUCUGUGUACCUAGGGACCUUAGGUGCU
RNAcentral lists this small RNA (171 nucleotides) under Gopherus agassizii (Agassiz's desert tortoise). RNAcentral describes it as "TUC338 (ENSGAGG00000001016.1)". The record is from RNAcentral. Lineage: Eukaryota; Metazoa; Chordata; Testudines; Testudinidae.